Molecule: unclassified non-coding RNA, 2935 nt
Filed under: Neodiprion pinetum (white pine sawfly)
Lineage: Eukaryota; Metazoa; Arthropoda; Insecta; Hymenoptera; Diprionidae
Description: uBX domain-containing protein 1, transcript variant X1
Source: RNAcentral
UUGUGUAGUGUUUUUGGUUUGUCUCGUCACUUUUUCAUCUUACCGCAAUUUCAGUAGCCCAAUUAUUUCUGAUAAUUUAGAGUGUAGACUAUAUUCAAGAAAGAGUGUUUUGAUUAUAACAUCAACAAGCAUGCAGCUUAUACUCUCGUAUUUAUUAUUUGACGUAUGCAGCACACAAUUUUUUAAGUCCAGGGAUAUCAGGUUUGAUCAUCAUAAAUCUUCAAAGAACCGAAUAAAGAAUUAAUUUACAAUCAGAUUCAAGCUUCGAAUCGACCAUUCAUUCAAAUUGAUCAAAACGUUUCUCUGUUGACUCAAGGCUCCAAAAUUGUAACUUUUGGUCGGGACUGUAGAAACCGUUCACAAUCGUGUAGUACGUGAAGUUUGUAAUAACAGGAAUAACUAAUAACAGUCCGCAAUAUUCUUCAGACGAAAAUAUCGAAACCAAAGUACAAUUCUUCAUUGGUACAAUCAUGAGCACGCUUUAUGCCUAUAAGCUACUUCCGCCUCCGUAGUUCGUGGCUUGUAGCUGUAUGUCAAAGUGUUCGUGCGACAUGACAUAUGAUUUUUAACUCAGCGUCCGUUAGUAAUAUUAUAUCUAGCCACUAAUUGUACAGUUAAAAAUUCAGCGAUGUCUUCGUCAGAUGUUUCGAUGCUCGUAGACAUGGGUUUCAGCCAGGCAAAAGCCGAGCGAGCCCUACAAAUUACCGGAAACAAAGGUGUCGAGCCGGCUAUGGAAUGGCUCCUUGCUCAUUCCGAUGAAGCUGAACCUUCCCCUGGGCUUAUGGCCGAAAAUCCUGUCAGUAUACCCGUACCAGCAACUGAAUCUCCACAGGAAAAUAUCGCUGAUGCAAGUAACGAAGAUGAAUCAGCAGCAACUGCCAAAUCCAUUAAAUGCGAUGUAUGUGGGAAACUAUUCAAAUCUAAUUUAGAGGUGGAAUUUCAUGCCACAAAGUCCGGACAUGACAGUUUCUCUGAAAGCACGGAAGAGAAGAAGCCACUGACGGAAGAGGAGAAGAAAGAGCAAUUGAGGUUAUUAGAAGAAAAAAUGAGACAAAAGAGAAAAGAGCGAGAGGAACUGGAAAAAAAAGAAGCAUUUGAAAAGGAGAAAUUGAGGAUACGCUCAGGCAAAGAGAUGGUCGAAGCCAAGAAAAAGCUUGAAGACUUGGAAAUGAAGAAAUUAUUAGAGCAACGGAAAAGGGAAAAAGAAGAGGAGAAAUUAGCAAAGCAGAGAGUAAGAGAGCAAAUCGAAGCUGACAAAGCAGCAAGACGUGCUAGAGCCGCCUCUGACGCUGGACGUGUUACACUUUCCCCUGUAGCUUCGAUUGCUGCGCCAACCGUCGUAUCAACGGGUCCAAAAAAAAAUUAUAGCGAAACAAAAUUGCAGCUUGAAUUAUGUAUUUUAGAUCAGACUAACAAAUGGUCAGGCAUUAACACAGACCUUUGGAUCCAAGGAACAGCUUUCUGCUGUACGAUUGUAUAUUGAAAUGAAUAGAACUGAUGGUUCGGGGUUGUUUAAUUUAAUGACUACAUUUCCUCGGAAAAUUUUCACAGAGGACGAUUACGAAAAACCAUUGGACAUUUUAGGCUUGGUACCGACAGCUGUUGUGAUAGUACAGAAGAAAACGGAAUUACAGUAGCAGAAAUUAUUGUUUUAAUGGCAUUAUAAACUGCGUAAUGCGAUUACAAUUUGACAAACAUUAAUACUAACUACAUAAAAUAAUGUAAAUUAAAGCACUUUAAUACUAUAAAAUUGUUAUUCAUACCAUUCAUAGACCACUAUUUGUAACGUUGCUGUAAUACGUACAUUCAAUCAUUCUGUAACUGGAUUUUAACUUGGCACAUCAAUCAAUUUUGAAUUUCUUGUAAUAAUGUAUGAGCAUGAGAUAACUCGUUUGGAUUACCUGUUCACCAAACAGCUCUUUGGGUACUUGAAAAAGUGCAUAUAAUAGAUACAGUACAUUUUUUUUUAUUCUAAUAUGUAUAAUUUUUCUAAAAAAAAUAAAAAUAAAUAAGUUAUGCUUUUAUCAGUCACUAGUUUCCUGUCACAAAACUUGACACUGAAACAUCGUAUUUUCUUCGAGUUACAUUAUAACAUUACAUUAGUUAAGUUGCUAGAUAUUUCUGGGUUGCUGUAUAAUGGCAAUAGACAAAAUUACACUCAUAAUACAUUAUACAAUUUUCAAUUUGCCUAGUUUGAACGUAUUGAUUACUAUUUUACUAAUAUAACAUUGUAAUUGGAUGGAACUGCACUGGGAUAAUUCACUGGCUUCUUCCGAUCACAGUUUGAAGGAAAGUCAACGAUGUUGUUACAAUCAGUCAGCUUCAAGCCUUUAUCCAGGCAAAUCCGUAUUUCGAAUAUGUAAGAUUCAUGCGUUUUCUACAAUGUAAUAAUAUAAUAUAUGUAGAAAUAACAUUCGUUUGAGACACAAUUUUCGGCUAUCAUGUCAAGUAAGGAUGUAGAGAUUUUGGUAUUCCAAUAAUUAUAUCUCUGUCAAAAAGAAACUUAAAUAUUUAAAAACAGAAAAUUGUUGCAUAAUCUGACGAUAACUUAAAAUAUCAACGAUGGUACAAAACAUUGAAUGAAAUUAAUAUUAAAAAGAAAGUCUCACCGGAUUUUUGAUACACUCGACCUCAAUAGUUUUUCCUAAAAUCUUUUCCACACCACUAAUGAUUUGCUCUACGGCAUAAGCUUGACCAACGAAUAUUCCUGCCUUGGCAAGCACAUGAGUCAUGUCAUAUUCUUUCAACAGAUCCAAUCCUUUUUGAAAAUAUUUCAAUUCUGUAUUCAAAGGAUCAAGGACGGAUGCACAGGUACCAUGUUUGUCCCACUCAUGUUUCCAGAAUGAAAAGUGUGGUGUUCCAUCUUCAAUGUUUAUCCAUUUCUCAUCCAACUGAUGAAUUAUUGGGAUUAAAGUAGACGCAUUAAAACCCUGUG